RNAcentral lists this ribosomal RNA (476 nucleotides) under uncultured bacterium. Its description in RNAcentral is "bacterial SSU rRNA". It matches the Rfam family "Bacterial small subunit ribosomal RNA", at positions 28 to 485 of the family's 1533-position model. The record is from RNAcentral.
GACGAACGCUGGCGGCAUGCCUAAUACAUGCAAGUCGAACGCUGAAGCACUCUGCUUGCAGAGUGCGGAUGAGUGGCGAACGGGUGAGUAACACGUGGGAAAUCUGCCUAGGAGUGGGGGAUAACAUUCGGAAACGGAUGCUAAUACCGCAUAUCUUUUUGAACCGCAUGGUUCUUAAACGAAAGACGGCUUCGGCUGUCGCUCUUAGAUGAUCCCGCGGCGUAUUAGUUAGUUGGUGGGGUAAAGGCCUACCAAGACCAUGAUACGUAGCCGACCUGAGAGGGUGAUCGGCCACACUGGGACUGAGACACGGCCCAGACUCCUACGGGAGGCAGCAGUAGGGAAUCUUCCACAAUGGGUGAAAACCUGAUGGAGCAAUGCCGCGUGAAUGAAGAAGGUCUUCGGAUCGUAAAGUUCUGUUAUUAGAGAAGAACAAGUCAAGGAGUAACUGUCUUGACUUUGACGGUACCUAACCA